UUUAUUUCCAAUCCUUUACAAUUCUUCAAGAUUUCCACCUUUGUCUCAAAUCCUUCAUCCAUCAAGUCUCACAAUCUGGUUCUACGUCUAGAGAAUAGUGGAUCAACAUUAAUGAUGGUUCCAGUUCAUGAUUGAGGAGAAGACGAGUAAUACAGUAUCCACGAAGGUUGUAAUUUCAUCAAUCGGUAGAGAGAAAAGCUAGAAAUUUGGCAAAAAAAAUUGUGCAGACCCGAAUUCAAGACUUCAGACUCGAUUCAGACCCGGAUCGCAAGACCGGGCUCGCUCCGCGCGCUUCACGCCUGCCUAUCGACCCAAUUGUUGGCCACUCUACGCGCCCGGCUCAGUCCAAACACGCUUGGCCCAGCCUGCGAGCCAACAUUCCGGACGCCUGACGACCCAAGCGCCCAACUCGCGAUCCGACCCGGGUCGUGCCUCGCGCCCAUGCGCCCGCCUCGUAUCCCUAGUUUUCUUUUGUCACGAGUUCACUUUGCCCAACCCAUGAUCCGAUCCGACCGGUUCACUUUGCUUGUGCGACUAGUGAAGAUUAUUUGAUGGAUUUUGGGUCGGUUCAACCAAUCUUAGAUUGGUUCACCUUAUUUUUAUUUUGGGUCACUUCAAGCUAGUUUUGAUGGUUUUUCCAUGAUUGAGUGGCUUAGAAGUGGUUUUGUACUACAUCAAAUUAUUGUUGUAAUAUUUUAGUACUUACCUUAAUUUAGAAGUUAAAACCAGUCUAUUUUAUGGUGUUUUAAUUAAUUAUGCAUGUUCAUA
Molecule: long non-coding RNA, 768 nt
Organism: Cucumis melo (muskmelon)
Lineage: Eukaryota; Viridiplantae; Streptophyta; Magnoliopsida; Cucurbitales; Cucurbitaceae
Exons: 2
Source: RefSeq, a predicted model, not a curated record